This is a long non-coding RNA of Oncorhynchus tshawytscha (Chinook salmon), 609 nucleotides long. The record is from Ensembl. Lineage: Eukaryota; Metazoa; Chordata; Actinopteri; Salmoniformes; Salmonidae.
UUGAGAGAUAGAUGGGAGGGGUCUAAUGGGGCUGGAGGGUGGGACUGGAUGAUGUUCAGAGACAGAUGGGAGGGGUCUAAUGGAGCUGGAGGGUGGGACUGGAUGGUGUUGAGAGAUAGAUGGGAGGGGUCUAAUGGGGCUGGAGGGUGGAACUGGAUGAUGUUCAGAGACAGAUGGGAGGGGUCUAAUGGGGCUGGAGGUUGGGACUGGAUGGUGUUGAGAGAUAGAUGGGAGGGGUCUAAUGGAGCUGAAGGGACUGGAUGGUGUUGAGAGAUAGAUGGGAGGGGUCUAAUGAAGCUGGAGGGUGGGACUGGAUGGUGUUGAGAGAUAGAUGGGAGGGGUUGAAUGGAGCUGAAGGUUGGGACUGGAUGGUGUUGAGAGAUAGAUGGGAGGGGUUGAAUGGAGCUGAAGGGUGGGACUGGAUGGUGUUGAGAGAUAGAUGGGAGGGGUCUAAUGGAGCUGGAGGGUGGGACUGGAUGGUGUUGAGAGACAGAUGGGAGGGGUCUAAUGGAGCUGAAGGGUGGGACUGGAUGGUGUUGAGAGACAGAUGGGAGGGGUUGAAUGGAGCUGAAGGGUAGGACUGGAUGGUGUUGAGAGAUAGAUGGGAGG